Molecule: ribosomal RNA, 510 nt
Filed under: uncultured bacterium
Lineage: Bacteria
Description: partial 16S ribosomal RNA
Rfam family: Bacterial small subunit ribosomal RNA
Source: RNAcentral
GACGAACGCUGGCGGCGUGCUUAACACAUGCAAGUCGAACGAAGAGCGAUGGAAGCUUGCUUCUAUCAAUCUUAGUGGCGAACGGGUGAGUAACGCGUAAUCAACCUGCCCUUCAGAGGGGGACAACAGUUGGAAACGACUGCUAAUACCGCAUACGAUCUAAACUCGGCAUCGAGGAUAGAUGAAAGGUGGCCUCUACAUGUAAGCUAUCACUGAAGGAGGGGAUUGCGUCUGAUUAGCUAGUUGGAGGGGUAACGGCCCACCAAGGCGAUGAUCAGUAGCCGGUCUGAGAGGAUGAACGGCCACAUUGGGACUGAGACACGGCCCAGACUCCUACGGGAGGCAGCAGUGGGGAAUCUUCCGCAAUGGACGAAAGUCUGACGGAGCAACGCCGCGGGAGUGAUGACGGCCUUCGGGUUGUAAAGCUCUGUUAAUCGGGACGAAAGGCCUACUUGCGAAUAGCGAGAAGGAUUGACGGUACCGGAAUAGAAAGCCACGGCUAACUACGUG